RNAcentral lists this ribosomal RNA (562 nucleotides) under fungal sp. Trtsf05. RNAcentral describes it as "eukaryotic LSU rRNA". The stretch from base 193 to 346 matches the Rfam family "5.8S ribosomal RNA". The record is from RNAcentral. Lineage: Eukaryota; Fungi.
UCCGUAGGUGAACCUGCGGAAGGAUCAUUACAAGAAACGAGGCCGCGUGCGUGCGCUCGCCCGCCCGGCCCCGCUCCUUACCUUGCCUACUGCACCGUUUGUUGCUUCCUGGCGGCGGACUGCCCGCCGCCAGGGACGUUGAUACAACCCUGUAUAGAAGCAUUGAAGCUCUGAGAAAACGCGAAAUCGUACAACUUUCAACAAUGGAUCUCUUGGUUCUGGCAUCGAUGAAGAACGCAGCGAAAUGCGAUAAGUAGUGUGAAUUGCAGAAUUCAGUGAAUCAUCGAAUCUUUGAACGCACAUUGCGCCCCUUGGCAUUCCAUGGGGCAUGCCUGUUCGAGCGUCAUCUAAACCCUCAAGCCCCCGGCUUGGUGUUGGGUGCCUGUCCCCGCUCCCCGCGCGGACUCACCCCAAAUGCAUUGGCAGCCGCCUCUCGGCUUCUUGCGCAGCACAGUGCGCAGCGAGGCGAGGUGAGGCGUGCGUCCAGCAAGCAACCACCCAAGUUUGACCUCGGAUCAGGUAGGGAUACCCGCUGAACUUAAGCAUAUCAAUAAGCGGAGGA